GACGAACGCUGGCGGCGGGCUUAACACAUGCAAGUCGAACGGAAGAGCCCUGCUUUUGUGUGGUGCGCGAGUGGCGAACGGGUAAGUAACACGUAAGUAACCUGCCCUUGACUUUGGGAUAACUUCAGGAAACUGGAGCAAAUACUGAAUUGGAGCUCCUGCUGCAUGGUUAGGGUUGGAAAGUUUCGGCGGAGGGGGAUGGACUCGCGGCUUAUUAGCUUGUUGGGGGGGUAGUGGCUUACCAAGGCUUUGGUGGGUAGCCGGCCUGAGAGGGUGACCGGCCAAAUGGGGACAGUGCUACGGCCCAGACCCCUAAGGGAGACAGCAGUGUGGAAUAGUGCAUGAUGGGCGGAAGCCUGAUGCAGCAACGCCGCGUGAGGGAUGACGGCCUUCGGGUUGUAAACCGCUAUCGCCUGUGACGAAGCGUGAGUGACGGUAAUGGGUAAAGAAGCACCGGCUAACUACGUG
This 468-nucleotide ribosomal RNA is filed under the name uncultured bacterium. Its description in RNAcentral is "partial 16S ribosomal RNA". It matches the Rfam family "Bacterial small subunit ribosomal RNA", at positions 28 to 507 of the family's 1533-position model. The record is from RNAcentral.